RNAcentral lists this ribosomal RNA (497 nucleotides) under uncultured bacterium. RNAcentral describes it as "partial 16S ribosomal RNA". It matches the Rfam family "Bacterial small subunit ribosomal RNA", at positions 28 to 507 of the family's 1533-position model. The record is from RNAcentral.
GAUGAACGCUGGCGGCGUGCCUAAUACAUGCAAGUCGAGCGAACAGACGAGGAGCUUGCUCCUCUGACGUUAGCGGCGGACGGGUGAGUAACACGUGGAUAACCUACCUAUAAGACUGGGAUAACUUCGGGAAACCGGAGCUAAUACCGGAUAAUAUAUUGAACCGCAUGGUUCAGUAGUGAAAGACGGUUUUGCUGUCACUUAUAGAUGGAUCCGCGCCGCAUUAGCUAGUUGGUAAGGUAACGGCUUACCAAGGCGACGAUGCGUAGCCGACCUGAGAGGGUGAUCGGCCACACUGGAACUGAGACACGGUCCCGACUCCUACGGGAGGCAGCAGUAGGGAAUCUUCCGCAAAGGGCGAAAGCCUGACGGAGCAACGCCGCGUGAGUGAUGAAGGUCUUCGGAUCGUAAAACUCUGUUAUUAGGGAAGAACAAAUGUGUAAGUAACUAUGCACGUCUUGACGGUACCUAAUCAGAAAGCCACGGCUAACUACGUG